Molecule: small nucleolar RNA, 107 nt
Organism: Humulus lupulus (European hop)
Lineage: Eukaryota; Viridiplantae; Streptophyta; Magnoliopsida; Rosales; Cannabaceae
Source: RefSeq, a predicted model, not a curated record
AUUCCAUGGUGGGGACAUUUUCUUAAAAACUCCUUAAACCUUUUCCACGCAUCAUACAAUGAAUCGCCAUCUCUUUGAUUAAAAUUGUUUAUUUCACCUCUAUACCU